UAAACUUCCCUUGUUGAGGAAGAUAAUGACGGUACUCAACAAGGAAGUGACGGCUAACUACGUGCCAGCAGCCGCGGUAAAACGUAGGUCACAAGCGUUGUCCGGAAUUACUGGGUGUAAAGGGAGCGCAGGCGGGAAGACAAGUUGGAAGUGAAAUCCAUGGGCUCAACCCAUGAACUGCUUUCAAAACUGUUUUUCUUGAGUAGUGCAGAGGUAGGCGGAAUUCCCGGUGUAGCGGUGGAAUGCGUAGAUAUCGGGAGGAACACCAGUGGCGAAGGCGGCCUACUGGGCACCAACUGACGCUGAGGCUCGAAAGUGUGGGUAGCAAACAGGAUUAGAUACCCUGGUAGUCCACACYGUAAACGAUGAUUACUAGGUGUUGGAGGAUUGACCCCUUCAGUGCCGCAGUUAACACAAUAAGUAAUCCACCUGGGGAGUACGACCGCAAGGUUGAAACUCAAAGGAAUUGACGGGGGCCCGCACAAGCAGUGGAGUAUGUGGUUUAAUUCGACGCAACGCGAAGAACCUUACCAAGUCUUGACAUCCCUUGACGAUGCUGGAAACAGUAUUUCUCUUCGGAGCAAGGAGACAGGUGGUGCAUGGUUGUCGUCAGCUCGUGUCGUGAGAUGUUGGGUUAAGUCCCGCAACGAGCGCAACCCUUAUGGUCAGUUACUACGCAAGAGGACUCUGGCCAGACUGC
Molecule: ribosomal RNA, 700 nt
Filed under: Faecalibacterium prausnitzii
Lineage: Bacteria; Bacillati; Bacillota; Clostridia; Eubacteriales; Oscillospiraceae
Description: bacterial SSU rRNA
Rfam family: Bacterial small subunit ribosomal RNA
Source: RNAcentral